AGUAAAAUAGUACGUGAAAUUGUUGAAAGGGAAACGAUUGAAGUCAGUCGUACCGACGAGAAAUCAGCUCUUCGAGUGCGAAGUUGUGGGCGUGCGUGAGUCUUUAACGGGCCUCGCUGUUUGCAAUUUUGUGCUUUUUGGGUGUACUUUUUCGUAUGGUAGGCCAACGUCAGUUUCGAUCACCGUAAAAUGAUCGGAGGAAUGUAGCUUCGAUCUCGUAUUGAAGUGUUAUAGCCUCUGGUAGAUGCGGUGACCGAAACUGAGGAUUGCAACGAAUACCCUUUUGGGCUAUCCGUCUGGCCUCUGAAAGUUGCUUAGGUGCCGAAAGCGUGCUUACGGCUAUUUAAGUUGACGGUCAACAGGUUAGAACGUGAUUACAUUCGUUAAGGACGUUGGCGUAAUGGCUUUAAA
Molecule: unclassified non-coding RNA, 411 nt
Filed under: uncultured Funneliformis
Lineage: Eukaryota; Fungi; Glomeromycota; Glomeromycetes; Glomerales; Glomeraceae
Description: sequence contains 28S rRNA gene
Source: RNAcentral